Long non-coding RNA from Gallus gallus (chicken), 3227 nucleotides. RefSeq lists it as uncharacterized. NCBI's taxonomy places the organism in Eukaryota, Metazoa, Chordata, Aves, Galliformes, Phasianidae. The record is from RefSeq and is a predicted model, not a curated record. The transcript has 4 exons.
GGUUUUAGUUCCCAGAUUGUGCCAAGGACAGGAAGAGUCCCUCAGUGCAAUGGUCACCAAGGGCAGUGGCUGCUUUUCCCCUUCAAAUCUUGAGGGAACAUAACCUUCUUGAGGGCUCUUCAGCUCAGCGUCAUUUGUGUUGAAACUGCCCGGGAUGAUUCACAUAAAUCUUUCUUCUUUAGGAAAACAAGGAAAAAAGCUGGGGUGUGGUGUAAAAGCAGUUUGUUGUGCCAAAUGCAUCCCUGCUGGGUUUGCUAAAUCUUCCCUGGUGGUUUGCAACCCAAUUCUGCAAUCAGAGCUUUUGGAAGGCUAUAAAACAUCACUGGGACUGCCAUGGCUUUGGGGACCACCACCUUCAGGAGUGGUGAAGACCAGCAUCUGCUCUGCAGACCUCCAUAAGCUGCUUAAACAGAGCCCAUCCCUGCUGCUGUCCCCUGCUGUGAAUUCAUCGCCACCAAGGACAAAGGAGACUCAUGGCCACUUCUUACCCAUAAGCAGCGUGCACCUCACCAGGGAGUUUCUUCCCACAGUCUUGCAUAGUCAACUUUUGGUUUAUGGUACGUUUCCCAUUGCACCAAUCUUUAUUGUAGGAAAAAUUUAAAAAAUGAGAGAGAAUGUAGGAAAUGCAGCUGUAGGGUAUGAGCUUACCGUGGGACAAAUAGUGGAGUUGGGAGAAAAGGAGGACCAACAGUAGACCAGCAGUAUCCUGGGCUACAUCAAAAGAGAGGUGGCCAUCAGGGAGAGGUGAUUCUUCCCCUCUGCUCUGCCCUUGUGAGGCCCCUUCUGGAGUACUGCUUCCAGGCCUGGGGCCCAGGUACAGGAAGGAUGUGGAGAUGUUGGAGUGGGUCCAGAGGAAGUCCUUGAAGAUCAGAGAACUAGAGCAGCUCUUCUGUGAAGAAAGGCUGAGGGAGUUGGGCUUGUUCAGCCUGGAGAUGAGAAGGUGCCAGGGAGACCUCAUUGCGGCCUUCCACUACUUGAAGGGAGCUUAUAUGCAAGACGGGAACUGACUUUUUAAGUUGUCUGACAGUGAUAGGACAAGGGAGAAUGGGGAGAUUUAGGUUAGAGGAGGAAAUGCCCUCUGAGCACAGGCUGCCCAGAGAAGUUGUGGAUGCCUCAUCCCUUCAAGUGUUCAAGGCCGGGUUGGAUGGGUCUCUGAGCAGCCUUAUCUGGUGGGUGGCAGCCCUGCCUGUGGCAGGGGGUUGGAACUACAUGAUCUUUAAGGUCCCUUCCAACUUAAGCCAUUAUAUGAUAUGAUUCUAUGACCUCACAUGGAACUGGGCGUCACAGUGAAACCCAGGCGACAUGGUUUCACAGUGAUGCCUUGCUCCAUUUGGAGACUGGACUGGAGGCUUGUGGAGGCAUUUCAGAUCCUGCCAGCAACCUGGAGAGGGAAAAAUCAUCAUUAGCUGGAGCAGGAGGCAGCAGCAAACUCUCACUCCCGCAUCACCUCUGGUUCUGGCGUUCCCCACGACGCACGUGCUUUGGCUGGGUUUUAUUUAAUCCACAGCACUGAGGAGCCUCGCUUCUUGUUUCUGGCAGCUGGAUUCCACCACUGGUUCCAGGUGGCUGAGAGACUGUAAAGUCAGAGCAGGGAGGAACAUGGGGAGAGAUGGACAGAUGCCCGUUUCCUUAUGAAACCAGGCUAAAAAUAGGUUCCCUAGACUUCCCGAGGAGGUGCUUCCCUGCAGUGAAAGCCAUCUGCUCAAUCCCCUGCACCAGAUACAUCCAGGUUUCCCCUGCUUGUUCUGCUAAACGUGAAAUGUUCCCAUAUCCAGGCCAGACAAAUCAAACCUGAUGACCCACUGAGGAGAGAUUCUCCAACCUUCUCCAACUCACAUCCUCAUGGCUGAGCCAAAUUCCUUGAAAAUGCCAUCCCUUCGGUUAUAUGUUUUGCACUGCUUGUGUUCUUGAUGGGAAGAUUUUUAUCUGUAACAAUAACUUGCUUUCUCUGUAGCCCUUUCCUACCCAGCAAUUUCCAGUCCUGACUGAAGCUUCCAGCUUAAUAACUGUCUUUUUGCAGCCAGGGAAACUGAGAGAAUGGUGUUAUUAGUAAGGCAAUUCCCAGAAAAAUUCAUCUGGCUGGUGAAAAGAGCACAGAGAGUAAAAUUCUCCUGGGAUAGAAAAGCCUGUGGAAGAAAAGAGAUGAUGCAGAACUUCAGACACUCCAGUUCUGCCCAGGCAACUGAUUCUCCUGAAUAUAAAGACUUAAAUAAAGUAACACGAAGUGAUAAACAAGUGUGGGGUAGGACAGAGCUGGACAGAAAUUCAGGAGGAGCAAAAAGGAAAACAAAUAAAAGAUGAGAAGAGCAUCCAAGCAAACAUGAACACAAGCCCAGCAGGAUGAUAGUUAGUUGAACAGUUGCCCUUUAGUUCCCUGUGCAAGGCUGAGCACCCCCUUCCCUUCCCUUGGAACCACAGGAUCACAGAAUGGCUGAGGUUGGCAGGGGUCCAUCUGGUCCAAUCCCUGCUCAAGCAGGGACACGCAGAGCAUGGUGCUCAGUACCACAUCCAGGAAGCUCUUGAAGAUCUCCACGGAGGAGGUUUGUGGGCAAAAAAAUGUCAGGGAGGAAUUGUAAAUAUUGCAAAGGGAAGAAAAGACUGAGCAAAGUUAAAAUGGAUCCUGCAACUUUCUGAUCCAAAGGGUAAAAUAAGCUGUUUGUUAUUAUUUAUUCUUCAUCCCUGUUUUACUGUCUCCAACAUCUUCCUCUGCUUUGUCUCAGUGUAGCUUUGGGCUGUUCUCAUCCCAACCACAAUCCCCUGGGUGAGCCUUCCUCCCUCUCUGUGCAAAGCCAGCUUGCCCAGACCUCUGGGGACUGCCAAGGGCAGAAAGAGGCUGCAGAAAUCCCCAUGGCCCUUGUUGCAGAGUUGAGUUCCUGGAAGGAAGGGGCAGGGGUUAACUGGACUGAUUUGGAGAUUUAUCUGUGAAAUUCUGGCUGUGAUUUCCACACUGCCUCCCUGCAUUGCUUCUCCUUUUCCAUGUCCCUGGCAGGUAAACAAAGAGAAGGUAAUACAUACUCUCUAGUGGCUUGGGUGAUUAUUGCUUUUGCUGCUCACAUUUAACAGCCACAUGUUCCCAUUGACAUUUAUUUCAGAUGACUUCUGUUCCUUCACAUCUCUCUGCAUGGGAAGUUCAGCUUCUCUAAGUAACAAGCUAUGCUGCUUCUUCCAUAUGGGAAGGAUCGGAAGCAUCUUAAGUGGGGGUUUCAAAAUGCAGAUUAAAAUCACAG